UAUGUUCUCAUUGCCAUUUUAUUAACUUUUGGAUUUGUUUUUGUUGCUCUUUUUUCUUUCUUCUCUUGUUCUCUUCUCUUGUGGUUUGAUGAUUAUCUUUAAUGUUGUAUUUGAGUUGCUUUUUCUUAUUUGUGUGUGUAUCUAUUAUAGAUUUUUUGUUUGCAGUUACCCUGAAGUGUUGAUAUAGGAGUCUUUAUAUAUACAAGAUUGUUUUAAACUGUUGGUCUCUUAAUUACAAAGUACAUCUCCAGUAUCCUGCAUUUAUACCCUUCUCUUACAGUUUCUGAUUUUGGUGACAUAUUUGUGUGUGGAUGAUUUCCUGCCUUUACUAUAUGUAUGCCUUUACUGGUGAGCCUUGUCCUUUGUAAUAUUUUUGUUUCUAAUUGUAACCUUUUCUUUUCUACCUAGAGGAGUUCCUUUAGUAUUUGUCAUAAAGCUGGUUUAGUGGUGCUUAAUUCUCUUAGCUUCACUUGUCUAUAAAGCUUUUGAUUUCUCCUUCAAAUCUGAAUGAGAGCCUUGCUGGGUAGAGUAAUCUUGGUUGGAGGUCUUAUCCUUUCAUCACUUUAAGUAUAUCAUGCCACUCCCUUCUAGCCUGCAGAGUUUCUGCUGAAGAAUCUGCCAAUAACCUUAUUGCAGUUCCCUUGUAUGUUACUUGUUUCUUUUCCUUAGCUUCUUUCAAAUUUUCUCUUUGUCUUUAAUUUUGGUCAGUUUGAUUAAUAUGUGUCUCAGGGUAUUCCUCCUUGGAUUUAUUUUAUAUAGUACUUGCUGUGCUUCCUGUAUUUGAGUGAGUGAUUUCUUUCCCAUGUCAGGGAAGUUUUCAGCUAUUAUCUCUUCAAAUAUUUUUUCUGUCCCUUUCUCUCUCUCUUCUCCUUCUGGCACCCCUAUAAUAUGGAUGCUGGUGCAUAUAACGUUGUCCCAGAGUUCUCUGAGACUCUCUUCAUUUCUUGUCAAUAUUUUUCUCUUUUCUGUACUGCAUCAGUGAUUUUGACUAGUUUGUCCUCCACCUCGCUUAUUUGUUCUUCUGCCUCCUGUAUUCUGUUCUUGGUUGCUUCUAAUGAAUUUUUUAUUUCAGUUAUUGUAUUUUGCAUCUCUGCUUGCUUAAUCCUUAAAUCUUGUAUUUCUUUGUUCAGAGUUUUUUGUAAUUUAUCAAUCUUUGCCUCCAGUUUAUUUCCAACAUCUUGAAUCAUCUUCCCUAUCAUCAAUCUAAAGUCUUUUUUAUGGAGGUUGAUAAUGUCCAGAUCACUUAGCUGAUUUUCUGGAUUUUUUUCUUGCUCCCUUAUCUGAGUCGUAAUUCUCUGUCUUUUCAUUUUGUAUAGAUUUCUGGUGUGGUCUCCUUUUUGCAGACAAUGUAGUUGCAGCCUCUCUUGCUUCUAAUGUCCGUCCCCCUUGUCACUGAAGUUGGUAUAGGGGCUUGCUAUAGGUUUCCUAAUGGGAAGGACUGGUGCCUGCCCACUUGUGGGUGGAGCUGAUUCUUAUCCCUCUUGCUGAUGGGGCUUUCUUUAUCUCUGGGUAAGAUUAGAGGUGGCCACGUGCCUGGGAGGGGGGUCUUUAGGCAGCCUGUUUGGUGAUGGGUGGGGCUGUGAUCACUCCUGGAUUAUUGUUUGGCUUGAGGCUUCUCAGCAUUGAUGGGUGGGGCCAGAUUUUUCCAAAAUGGCAACCUUGUCUUGAUGUGGCCUCCUCUUUGUCUUCUGGAGUAGCAGUGCCUUUUAUUUUAUUUUGUUUAUUUAUUUACUUAUUUACUUAUUUAUUGCUUUUUAUGGCUGCACCCUAUGGCAUAUGGAAGUUCCCAGGCUAGAGGUUGAAUUGGAACUGCAGCUGCAGGGCUACCCCACAGCCACAGCAACAUGGAUCCAAGCCACAUGUGCAACCUACACCACAGCUCAGGGAAACACCAGAUCCUUCACCCACAGAGCAAGGCCAGAGAUUAAACCCACAUCAUCAUGGAUACUAGCUGCUUUCAUAAGCCACUGAUCCACAACAGGAAUUCCCUAUCAGUGCUUUUUAAAAGGUUCCCUAGAUCAUUUUAAUGAAAAGCAAUUGACUGGAUGAUCUUACUGGACCGUUCCAGCUUAAAAAAAAAUACCAUUACUUCAUCUGCUAGGUUAGAGAUACUUUAUUACAGUUUAAAUUUAGGAAUAAGAAAUAUGACUGAUAUUGUAAUAAUUAUGAUAAUGCUAGCACUAAUAUUUAUAGGCAGAGAGUUUCUUACCUUAACAUGAAAAGUAAGUUUGUUGUUCUUGUUCAAAUGACAGUUUAUACAAGAGAAAGAGACUUAGGACAAAUGAAAUGGGGCAGAGGCUGCAUCUGUACAUGUCUUUUGAGAAAUAGAGAAGGCAAAGGUAGCUCAUCCACUAAUUUUACUAUAGAAAAGUGAAUAACUUCCUAAGAUUUCAACCCAUAUAUGCACACACAAAAAAAAUCUACUUUCAGUUUUCAAAAUACACAUCCCUGCCACUAUGAACAAUGAACAAUGAGUCUUAUUCUGUGGCAGGAAAUUCUUCCCACAGUACCUGGCAGGUGAUCAAAUAUCACCCAGUUCCUGCAAGCCUAUUUGAUCCUGCGAGUCUUGGCAGACUGUGUGUCAUUGGUUUAUAGUCUGUACUUCCUGUAAACUUAAUGGUGGUUUUAAAAAAAUAAAAGUACCAGCAUAAUAUAAAUGUAUGUCCUCCUUACGUUGCCUUCAUCUGUGACAUCCAAAUCAAAGCCUUGUCAUCUGAGGUCUUACUAGAUCCCUGUAAGAGAAUAUCAACAAUUAUUCAUGAUCACCUAAAACAAACAGGGUCUCAUUCAAACACUGGCUAUCAGUGUCUGACUUUCAAACCAAGAGCAAGGCUAAGGCCUCAGCCUGCCUAGCUGACUGUCCACUGGGUGACAGUGUUGAACCAUGUGAAAUAAAUGUGCUUUGUCCCUGGGCCAGCAAGCUCUGGGAAAGACUGCAGCCAGAUGGAGUCCUGAGGGUCUUGGGGAGGUUCUGCCUUCCUUCAGGAGCAAGGCAAAAUGAUUUGAUUUUCUUUAUCUUUAAAGGGAAAACACGAGGUGAAUUGGUCUGAUGUUACCAUGUUGUGUGUGGGUUUCUGUGGGCAAAGCAGUACAGAGAAUAGAUGGGAUUGUCCAUGAUAAAUUAAUCUUCAUUUUCCUGAUAAUUUAAUGAAGGCAGGAAACUUGCAAAGAGCAUUGUGAAAACUCAGCUGAUGAUUCAUUUUAUUAGUGUACUCAGAUGUGUUGGGUGGGACAGUUCUUUACCUAAAGUGUUCAUUCUAAUGCAAACGUGCUAGAGUGUGGGAUGUGCAUUACCUGGGGCUCUGAAGAGGGACAAGAUUGUCUUUUUACAAUGUUUUGUACAAAUGACUGUGUCAUGGUAUUACAUUAUUCUGUCCAUUCUGGAUGUUAUCUCUGUCUUCAAAAGGAGAAAUAGACAGGGAACAACAAAGACAGUAGUAUGAUUCAGUGUGAUCAGUAGAAAUGAUGAGAGUAUGUUAUGACAGGAGUUCCUCUCAUGGCGCAGUGGUUAACAAAUCCGACUAGGAACCGUGAGGUUGCAGGUUCGAUCCCUGGCCUUGCUCAGUGGGUUAAGGAUCUGGCGUUGCCGUGAGCUGUGGUGUAGUCACAGACGCAGCUCGGAUCCCAAGUCGCUGUGGCUCUGGCAUAGGCCGGUGGCUACAGCUCCAAUUGUGCUCCUAGCCUGGGAACCUCCAUAUGCCACAGUAGCAGCCCUAGAAAAGGCGAAAAG
RNAcentral lists this long non-coding RNA (3730 nucleotides) under Sus scrofa (pig). RNAcentral's name for it is "lncRNA (ENSSSCG00000052218.1, ENSSSCG00105023472.1, ENSSSCG00110027244.1)". Lineage: Eukaryota; Metazoa; Chordata; Mammalia; Artiodactyla; Suidae. The record is from RNAcentral.